GCCGGGUUAGCUCAGUGGUAGAGCGACGCUUUCGUAAAGCGUAGGUCCAGGGUUCAAAUCCCUGACUCGGCU
Molecule: transfer RNA, 72 nt
Filed under: Humisphaera sp.
Lineage: Bacteria; Pseudomonadati; Planctomycetota; Phycisphaerae; Tepidisphaerales; Tepidisphaeraceae
Also listed under: 2 other names
Description: tRNA-Thr
Rfam family: tRNA
About the family: Transfer RNA (tRNA) molecules are approximately 80 nucleotides in length.
Source: RNAcentral